RNAcentral lists this ribosomal RNA (468 nucleotides) under uncultured bacterium. RNAcentral describes it as "partial 16S ribosomal RNA". It matches the Rfam family "Bacterial small subunit ribosomal RNA", at positions 28 to 507 of the family's 1533-position model. The record is from RNAcentral.
GACGAACGCUGGCGGCGUGCUUAACACAUGCAAGUCGAACGGAAAGGCCCUGCUUUUGUGGGUUGCUCGAGUGGCGAACGGGUGUGUAACACGUGAGUAACCUGCCCUUGUCUGUCUGAUAACUUCAGGAAACUGGGGCUAAUAUCGGAUAUGAUCUCCUGCUGCGUGGUGGGGGUUGGAAAGUUUCGGCGGUUGGGGAUGGACUCGCGGCUUAUCAGCUUGUUGGUGGGGUAGUGGCUUACCAAGGGUUUGACGGGUAGCCGGCCUGGGAGGUUGACCGGGCACAUGGGGACUGAGGGACGGACCAGAAGGCUACGGGCGGCAGCAGGGGGGAAUAUGGCAGAAUGGGGGGAAGCGAGAGACAGAAACGCCGCGUGCGGGAUGACGGCCUUCGGGGUGUAAACCGCUGUCGACUGUGACGAAGAGGGAUUGACGGUAAUGGGUAAAGAAGCACCGGCUAACUACGUG